RNAcentral lists this ribosomal RNA (253 nucleotides) under uncultured bacterium. RNAcentral describes it as "partial 16S ribosomal RNA". It matches the Rfam family "Bacterial small subunit ribosomal RNA", at positions 524 to 776 of the family's 1533-position model. The record is from RNAcentral.
AACGUAGGAGACGAACGUUAUCCGGAGUUACUGGGCGUAAAGGGCGUGCAGGCGGCUUGAUAAGUUCGGCGUGAAAUUUCCCGGCUUAACCGGGGGAUGUCGUCGGAGACUGUCGAGCUAGAGGGUGAUAGAGGCGUGUGGAAUUCCGGGUGUAGUGGUGAAAUGCGUAGAGAUCCGGAGGAACACCAGUGGCGAAGGCGGCCACCUGGACUGUACCUGACGCUGACACGCGAAAGCUAGGGGAGCGAACGGG